This is a long non-coding RNA of Dioscorea cayenensis subsp. rotundata (Guinea yam), 196 nucleotides long. RefSeq lists it as uncharacterized. Lineage: Eukaryota; Viridiplantae; Streptophyta; Magnoliopsida; Dioscoreales; Dioscoreaceae. The transcript has 2 exons. The record is from RefSeq and is a predicted model, not a curated record.
UUGGUUUGCUGUAAUUGUAUACCAUGCUGUGUGCUUUUUCAGUUUUUCUAACCCAUGGACAGGAUUAAGGGAGAUGUCAACAUUUCUCUCAGAGCAAAUGAAAUGAAGUGUGAAAGCUUGUCAUGUCUCACAUAUGAACUUGGACUUUGACUGUUGAAGAAGAUGGGCCAAGGCUGCUGUUAGUGUGACCACAAAA